Long non-coding RNA from Saccostrea cuccullata (small rock oyster), 155 nucleotides. RefSeq lists it as uncharacterized. Lineage: Eukaryota; Metazoa; Mollusca; Bivalvia; Ostreida; Ostreidae. The transcript is spliced from 3 exons. The record is from RefSeq and is a predicted model, not a curated record.
UUUGUGACUAUUUCAUUAUUGUGAUCUUUAGAAGCUUGCCAGCACGAUCACUGAGUAAGAUUUCACUCAUCAUAUUGUAUAUUUGGAGAAUGGCUUUAUAUCACAUAUAGAGCUGUGAUAAUACUCAUUGAAUAUACACUUAUCCAUAUCUACAA